RNA transcript from Lycium barbarum (goji berry), 2270 nucleotides. It is a transcript of the gene named enhancer of polycomb-like protein 1, with no coding region annotated. Lineage: Eukaryota; Viridiplantae; Streptophyta; Magnoliopsida; Solanales; Solanaceae. The transcript has 14 exons. The record is from RefSeq and is a predicted model, not a curated record.
AAAAAAGCAUGUGGAAGUUAACUAGAAUUCAAACAUCACUCGCAUUGGUUAAAGGGAACAACAAACUCCGUACGAGCGCCUACAUAUUAUUUAAAUAAUGCCCCAAGAAUAUACGGGUCGGGUUAACCCGAAGCAACUCUGAAAAUCCCCCAUUUAAAUUGCCCUAGCUAGGUCACCGGAAAAACCAUUCAUAUCUGCCGGACCUUCUCUACAGUGUGGGAGGUUGGAAGCUGAGGUGAAAGUUGAUAAAAGAGUGAAUUUUGUGUGUUGGGGGGAAUGAGCUGAGUUGAUAAUGAGUAGACUCUCAUUUAGACCGCGUCCUCUUGAUAUUCACAAGAAGUUGCCAAUUUUAAAGUCUAUCAAGGAUUUUGAGGAUGAUGAUUCCCAGACUAAUACCCGAAACCUUAUUCUUCGUCUCGCUGCUGAAGCUACCGAAAAUGAGGUACCACAAACUUCUAGCAAGAAGUUGGCUCCCGAAAUACCUACUCCUGAGUAUGUUGUUGUGGAUACAUACGAAAGAGAUUAUUCGCGAACUUUUGCUCAGCCGACAUCAUAUAUACAUGCUAGAGGAGCUCGGGCUGAGAUUGGAGAAUUCGUUGAAUAUGAUCUUGACAAUGAGGACGAAGAUUGGCUCAAAGAAUUCAACAGAGAAAGAAAGGUUCUUGCGGCUGAAACGUUGGAGACGAUUUUGUUCAAACUUGAAGUUUUAGAUCACAAGGCCCGAGAAAGAGCAGGAGUUAUAGUAAAUACGCUUGGCUCGCCAGUUCCUGUGCUUCUCAGUUUUGAUGCUGCUGUUGAGGCCUUGCAAUCUUUAUCCAUUAAAUAUGGAGUAUUCCAGUCUAUUUAUAAUUACUGGAAGGAUAAGCGGGAGCGGUGGCAGAAGCCUUCUCUUCGGCGUUUGCAGCCGCCUCCACCAGUUAAUGACACAAAUCCAUAUAAUGUAUUUAGGCCAAGGGAGAAGGCCCACAGACUUCAUACAAGAAGGAUGCAAAGGAGGGAAAACAAUGCACAGUCAUUUGAAAAGCUUCGCCAGGUUAGGCGCAACCUUGACCAAGCAAAGAUCAUUCUUGAGGCUCUCAUCAAGAGAGAGGAGAAGAAGCGAGAUUUUAUUGAGAGUGAGAUUAGUCUCCAGAGACUUCAAAUGAAACACAAGAAUGAAACUGAGCUUCUUGAGGAUACCUUGGCUCUGCCUGAAUUUCCUUCCUUCCCAAGUAAGGUUGGUUCAAGUGAGGACGAAUUUGCCGACUCUGAUGAUCCUUCUAUUGGCCGUCCACAUGAUAGGCAUGUGACACAACACAUAACCUUCCCCGACACGAAGCCGGUGACAGCUUCUCCUAGAAUGAUGAGGCGAGAGUUCAAGCGAAGACGUGUGCCGCAUGGAUGGCUCCAUAAAUUGGAUCCAAACGAGCCCCCACUGCUGUUCACGAAACCUCUGGACCCAGCCAAAUUGUCUGCUGCAGGCAUUAUACCUCCAGGUUCUCCAACACCAAAUGGCCUACCUGUCCGCACAUUUAGCUUUCGUGGAAGGAUGGGGCGAGGUGGCCGCAUCGUGUUCGAUAGAUGGAACCCACUUAGCCAUACACCAAUCGAGUGCGGUGAUACUUUAUAUGUUCCACCGAAGGCCCGGCAUUCUGCACAUCAAUGAAAUAUUCAGCAUUUCAUGAGCUUGUGUCUCAAUCCCCUUAAAAGUUGUAUAUGUGUAUGAUAUUUGCAAGGAUGAUGCUAAAGAUAGAAGGGAAAUUUUUGAGCCAGUGACAAUCGAAGAACCAAGACUCAGUUUUGGACUUUGAAGAGGCACGGAAAUAUUUAACAAAAGUGCUGAAGGCAGGUGCCGUAGAAUGCUUAAAGCAUCGUUUUGCCGUGGUGGCCUGCCCUUUUCUUUUUUGCAGGUGCAGGGUGUACCAUUUAUUUCCAAGUUAAGAAAUGAAAGCAUCUCUCUGCCCAAUUGAACAAUAUUUCCAAGUCAGGACAGGUGUAGAAAAAGAGGAAAAAGUAUCUUCUUCCCUGUCUUUGUAGAAUGUUGUUGAUGAGGUCUAUUUAAGUACAUGCCCACGUAGAUAAUGCAUGUCUUCUGUUGUAAAUGAAGGAUGAAGUUGGCCAGGUUUAGCGAUUCAGUUUUAAUUAGGUCUGUUUAUUUUCAUAUCUUGCAAUUUUCCAGUUUUACUUUAUUACGGGAUGUUAUAAUGUUUAGUGUAAAAUGAAGUCCUAUUGGAAAAGUGAUAUUUCAAAGGCACGACUGAGUAAAGAGCAAAUGAAUCUUUGUGUGUGUA